AUGAACGCUAGCGACAGGCCUAACACAUGCAAGUCGAGGGGCAGCACAAGGAGCAAUCUGAGGUGGCGACCGGCGCACGGGUGAGUAACACGUAUGCAACCUGCCUGUAAGCGGGGAAUAACCCGUUGAAAGACGGACUAAUACCGCAUAAUACUAAAUUACUGCAUGGUAAUUUAUUUAAACAUUUAUGGCUUACAGAUGGGCAUGCGCAUGAUUAGCUAGUUGGAGAGGUAACGGCUCCCCAAGGCAACGAUCAUUAGGGGUUCUGAGAGGAAGGUCCCCCACACUGGUACUGAGACACGGACCAGACUCCUACGGGAGGCAGCAGUGAGGAAUAUUGGUCAAUGGACGAGAGUCUGAACCAGCCAAGUCGCGUGCAGGAAGAAUGUCCUAUGGAUUGUAAACUGCUUUUGCAGGGGAAUAAAGUGCAUCACGUGUGAUGUUUUGUAUGCACUCUGCGAAUAAGGAUCGGCUAACUCCGUGCCAGCAGCGGC
RNAcentral lists this ribosomal RNA (494 nucleotides) under uncultured bacterium. RNAcentral's name for it is "bacterial SSU rRNA". It matches the Rfam family "Bacterial small subunit ribosomal RNA", at positions 29 to 518 of the family's 1533-position model. The record is from RNAcentral.